UACGGGGGGGGCAAGCGUUGUUCGGAAUUACUGGGCGUAAAGGGUUUGUAGGUGGCUUGUUAAGUCAGACGUGAAAUCCCUCAGCUUAACUGGGGAACUGCGUCUGAUACUGGCGAGCUUGAGUGCAGGAGAGGAACGCGGAAUUCCAGGUGUAGCGGUGAAAUGCGUAGAUAUCUGGAGGAAUACCGGUGGCGAAGGCGGCAUCCUGGACCGGCAUUGACGCUGAGGAGCGAAAGCCAGGGGAGCAAACGGG
RNAcentral lists this ribosomal RNA (253 nucleotides) under uncultured bacterium. RNAcentral's name for it is "partial 16S ribosomal RNA". It matches the Rfam family "Bacterial small subunit ribosomal RNA", at positions 524 to 776 of the family's 1533-position model. The record is from RNAcentral.